This 440-nucleotide ribosomal RNA is filed under the name uncultured bacterium. Its description in RNAcentral is "bacterial SSU rRNA". It matches the Rfam family "Bacterial small subunit ribosomal RNA", at positions 338 to 795 of the family's 1533-position model. The record is from RNAcentral.
CCUANGGGUGGCAGCAGUUCAGAAUCUUGCGCAAUGGGCGAAAGCCUGACGCAGCGAUGCCGCGUGAGCGAUGAAGGCCUUCGGGUCGUAAAGCUCUGUCAGAGGGAACGAUAAUGACGGUACCCUCAAAGGAAGCCACGGCUAAUUACGUGCCAGCAGCCGCGGUAAUACGUAAGUGGCGAGCGUUAUCCGGAAUCACUGGGCGUAAAGCGUUCGUAGGCGGCGCAGUAAGUUGGAAUUGAAAUCCCAGGGCUUAACUCUGGACCCGGUUCCAAAACUGCUGUGCUUGAGCGUAUCAGAGGGUAGUGGAAUUCCCGGUGUAGCGGUAAUAUGCGUAGAUAUCGGGAGGAACACCAGUGGCGAAGGCGGCUACCUGGGAUAUUGCUGACGCUGAGGAACGAAAGCCAGGGGAGCGAACGGGAUUAGAUACCCCGNUANUC